Molecule: ribosomal RNA, 1026 nt
Filed under: Nigrospora oryzae
Lineage: Eukaryota; Fungi; Ascomycota; Sordariomycetes; Amphisphaeriales; Apiosporaceae
Description: SSU rRNA
Rfam family: Eukaryotic small subunit ribosomal RNA
Source: RNAcentral
AAUUAUACCGCGAAACUGCGAAUGGCUCAUUAAAUCAGUUAUCGUUUAUUUGAUAGUACCUUACUACAUGGAUAACCGUGGUAAUUCUAGAGCUAAUACAUGCUAAAAACCCCAACUCACGAAGGGGUGUAUUUAUUAGAUUAAAAACCAAUGCCCUUCGGGGCUUCUUGGUGAUUCAUAAUAACUUCUCGAAUCGCAUGGCCUUGCGCCGGCGAUGGUUCAUUCAAAUUUCUGCCCUAUCAACUUUCGAUGGCAGGGUCUUGGCCUGCCAUGGUUACAACGGGUAACGGAGGGUUAGGGCUCGACCCCGGAGAAGGAGCCUGAGAAACGGCUACUACAUCCAAGGAAGGCAGCAGGCGCGCAAAUUACCCAAUCCCGACUCGGGGAGGUAGUGACAAUAAAUACUGAUACAGGGCUCUUUUGGGUCUUGUAAUUGGAAUGAGUACAAUUUAAAUCCCUUAACGAGGAACAAUUGGAGGGCAAGUCUGGUGCCAGCAGCCGCGGUAAUUCCAGCUCCAAUAGCGUAUAUUAAAGUUGUUGCAGUUAAAAAGCUCGUAGUUGAACCUUGGGCCUGGCUGGCCGGUCCGCCUCACCGCGUGCACUGGUUCGGCCGGGCCUUUCCCUCUGGGGAACCGCAUGCCCUUCACUGGGUGUGUCGGGGAACCAGGACUUUUACUGUGAAAAAAUUAGAGUGUUCAAAGCAGGCCUAUGCUCGAAUACAUUAGCAUGGAAUAAUAGAAUAGGACGUGUGGUUCUAUUUUGUUGGUUUCUAGGACCGCCGUAAUGAUUAAUAGGGACAGUCGGGGGCGUCAGUAUUCAAUUGUCAGAGGUGAAAUUCUUGGAUUUAUUGAAGACUAACUACUGCGAAAGCAUUCGCCAAGGAUGUUUUCAUUAAUCAGGAACGAAAGUUAGGGGAUCGAAGACGAUCAGAUACCGUCGUAGUCUUAACCAUAAACUAUGCCGACUAGGGAUCGGGCGAUGUUAUUAUUUGACUCGCUCGGCACCUUACGAGAAAUCAAAGUCUUU